AACGAACGCUGGCGGCGCGCCUAAUACAUGCAAGUCGAGCGAGAAGACGUAGCAAUACGUUUGUAAAGCGGCGAACGGGUGAGGAAUACAUGGGUAACCUACCCUCGAGUGGGGAAUAACUAGCCGAAAGGUUAGCUAAUACCGCGUACGCUCCUUGGACUUCGGUUCAGGGAGGAAAGCGAUACCGUGGGUAUCGCGCUCUUGGAUGGGCUCAUGUCCUAUCAGCUUGUUGGUGAGGAACGGCUCACCAAGGCUUCGACGGGUAGCUGGUCUGAGAGGACGAUCAGCCACACUGGCACUGCGACACGGGCCAGACUCCUACGGGAGGCAGCAGUAAGGAAUAUUGCGCAAUGGGCGAAAGCCUGACGCAGCGACGCCGCGUGGGGGAUGAAGGUCUUCGGAUUGUAAACCCCUUUCGGGAGGGAAGAUGGAAUGGGGUAACCCAUUCGGACGGUACCUCCAGAAGCAGCCACGGCUAACUUCGUGCCAG
RNAcentral lists this ribosomal RNA (490 nucleotides) under uncultured bacterium. Its description in RNAcentral is "bacterial SSU rRNA". It matches the Rfam family "Bacterial small subunit ribosomal RNA", at positions 29 to 511 of the family's 1533-position model. The record is from RNAcentral.